UUAAGUGAUGCUCUUUAACAAAACUUUCCCAUUUCUAGAUGUCUAUCCUACAUAAUUACGCAAAGGUAUAUGUGUAUAUAGGAAUGUUCAAAGCAGCCCUUUUUAUAUUACAGAAAAUUGAAAAUGAUAUGGGGAAAGUUUUAAAUUGUAAUACCACUGUACAGUGUAAUACUACACACAGCACAAGAAUGAUCUAAAUUUAUGUGUAAUUACCUGGGAAAGAUAGCUAUAAUAAAUCAAAAAUGUAAUUGUGUAGUGGUAUUAUUAUGAUCCCAAUUUUUUAAAUGCUAUAUUGUGAAUUUUCGAAUACUCAUAGAAACAAAUCUGAAAGGAAGCACAUCAAAUUGUUAAUAGAUGUUAGAUCUAGAGGCAGAGGAGGGUGGGAGUACAAAGCAGACAUUUGUUUUAUUUUAUAUACUUUAUAAUAAGCUGCGUUAUUUUUAUAAUCAAAGGAAAAAAAUUUAGCUGUCUUACUCAUCCUUCAAGAUCUGUAUCACAUACCGCCCUUAGUGGAUUAUUUUGACAUCUUACCAGUCAGACUUGCCCUGAGCUCCCAUAGCGGAAUUAUUUUACUUUGAUAAUCCUUAUAUCAUUUUACUUUGUACUCUUGUUCAUGUGUUUUCCUUAUUGUUUGUUUCUGAAAAUCCUUAUUUUAUCUUUCUGGAAAUGAACAGUUUUCUUUCUUAUAUAUGAUAAAGUUCUGUCACAUAGCAUAAUCUGUUAAUCCAGUAUCCUGUUUUUGUAAUACUUACAGAGAAUAUAUAGACUAUGCUAGAGGCUACUGUAAUAAAAUGGGUGUCUGAUGUUUGUUCUCUUUAUGUUCACCCUGGGAUUUUUAAAGUAGUAGCUGAAUGUUUUUCUGAAAUAGAUCCAUGUAUAGGUGAAGUGAAAAAUCACAUGACAUACAGUCAAAUGUUUACGAGUCAAAAUAUGGGUGUCACACUGAGGGUAAGGAUAAAUAUAUGCUUUUAUAUUUAUAUUAAAUACUUUUAAAUAUUUUCUUUCUCUAAGUUUGGAAUAGUUGAUGCUGAUGGAUAUUUAAGUUUGUAUCAAACAAACUGGAAAUGUUGUCCAGUUACUGGAAGCAUGCCUAAGCCAUACCUGACUUGGCAGUGUCAUAACAAAACAGCCAAUGAUUUUGUCUUCGUUAGUUCCUCCUCUCUGAUAGCUACAGCUGGUCUUUCAACUGACAAUAGAAACGUAUGUUUGUGGGAUACUCUUGUAGCACCUGCCAAUAGUUUAGUCCAUGCAUUUACCUGCCAUGACAGUGGAGCCACAGUUUUAGCAUAUGCUCCAAAACAUCAGCUACUAAUAUCAGGUGGCAGAAAAGGUUUUACAUAUGUAUUUGACCUUUGUCAACGACAACAGAGGCAGCUUUUCCAGAGCCAUGAUUCUCCUGUUAAAGCCGUUGCUGUUGAUCCAACUGAAGAGUACUUUGUUACAGGAUCUGCCGAAGGCAAUAUAAAGAUUUGGAGUCUCUCUACCUUUGGUCUUCUCCAUACUUUUGUCAGUGAACAUGCUCGGCAGUCCAUUUUUAGAAAUAUUGGAACUGGAGUGAUGCAAAUUGAGACAGGGCCCGCAAAUCACAUUUUCUCCUGUGGAGCUGAUGGAACAAUGAAAAUGAGAAUACUGCCAGAUCAGUUUAGCCCUUUAAAUGAAGUGUUGAAAAAUGAUGUGAAAUUUAUGCUAUAACAUUUUUACAAUAAGAUGUACAAUUUAUUACCUAUAUGGAAGUGGCCAACAGAUGUAAUAUACAGUGAUCAUUCUCUAUGCCACAAAUUAGCUAAUGCUUUCUUGUUUUUAUAUUUAUUUUAUGGAGCUUUGCCCUUGAUGCACUGAUGCCUUAAAAAUUAACAAGGUCAUUCAGAAGUAGAUUACAUUCCCUAAAGUAGAAUGUGUAAGUAAUGCUGUAAUAAUACAUAUCAUAGUAUAUUAUAAUCAGUAUGUCAUAGUGUUAAAGGUGUUUUGUUUUCUUAUUGAUACUUUUCCACAGGCAUCUCUGCAUGAAUUUCUUCCACAGUAAAAAUACGUUUUUUGUAAAGGCAAUUGUACAUAAUACUCAUCACUUAAUUCACCACACUCUCACUUCCUUUAUUAGCCUUAUACGUCUCAAACUCUUCUCUUAAUUAAUGAUAGGUAUUUGAGUAAGAAUGAAAAAAAUAAUGAACAUCUUCAUUAAAAUUGUCAUUGAGACGUCAGUGAUAAAUGAGCUAGAUGGCUCAGUAUGUAAGGUUUUCAGUAGUUUACCCUCCGGAACCCAAGUUAUAUGUAUGUAUACGUGUGUGUGUGUGUGUGUGUGUAUCUUACACAUCUUAUUUGAACUUAGUUGUAUAUAUUAGUGAAAACUGGUUUUUCAUGUGUUUUUGUGCCAUAACAACUAUUGCCACCAGAAUAACUUUUUUUUGCAACUGUGCUUUUCAUUUUUAAAAAAUUUUUGAAUUCCCAUCCUAAUUUUCAAAUAAGUUUCAAGGAGACUAUCAGGAUUAUUAUUUUAAAGAUUAGAUUUAGUCAAAUAAGUCUUAGCAGGCAAUAAAGUUUCUGUGGUGGCAUAUAUCAUGUAAGACAAAGUAAGUUUGUGAAUUUGUCAACUUUCGAGCAUCAAACAAAUAUUUUACUUAAAUUUUAUUUUAUCUUAUUUUUAGGUGCUUUUAAUCUCAAAAUUCUGAAAAGCGAAUAGCAGUGUUUUCAGAAACAAAUGUGAAAGCAGUCAAAUUAAGUAGAUACUAUUUAGAAAUGUAAAAUACUCUCCAGAUCUACCAUUAAUAGAAAAUAAACUAAACCUUAUAUUUUAUUUUUGCCAAAAUAUUUUAUUAUAAAAUAUGACCAAAAUAUGUAAAAUGCACAAUGCUUUUAACUUAAAUGUGCUAACCCUGUUUCUGUCUGUUUUGUGCUGUACCUUUUCUGAUUCAGAAUUAUAGAAAACUUGAUAAAUACUUGAUUUUAACCAAUGAGACUACAGGCAGAUGGGACUAAGUGUUUAUGGGACAAUUAUGUACUAUUUAACUUAAAUAUAUUUUGUUUAAUAGGAAAUAUAUAAUAAUAGCAUUUUAUGUAAUAAAAUAUGGGCAACGAUUAUCUUGGAAAUUAAAGAGUCAAAGCAAAGAAAUGAAGGGCUGGUAAAAUGAAUUUUGUAAUAUCCUCAGGAUACUUUUAUCUUAAAAGUAUGUUGUUAAAGAUUUUGUAAAUUGUAUUUCAACAAUUUUAAAUGUGUUGAGCAAGUUGCAGUGCAAACACUGUCAUUAUAUAGAGAGUUUAUAUGCACACAAUAACCUGUACCUAUAAAUUGUGCAAUAACCAUAUGCGACUAUUUUGCCAUGGAGAAAUCUGACAGCAUUGCAAACAAUAGUAUUGUUUGAUGUAGUUAACCUUAAGUUAUUUUUCAGUAAUUUCUUCACAAAUCAAGAUUCAAACAGCUUUAAACACUUCCAAUGAGAUAAAAUAUUUACUAUUAUGCUUAUUAGAACAAAAGGUGUUUAAGGAUGAACUAAAUAUUUUAAUUGAGCAUUUAUAUGGAUAAUCAUACAUUAUGUAAGCCCAUAUGUAUUUACAUCCAGAGUCAUAAUAUUUUAAAUAAACAAUCAUGCAG
RNAcentral lists this small RNA (3586 nucleotides) under Pan troglodytes (chimpanzee). RNAcentral describes it as "retained intron". The record is from RNAcentral. Lineage: Eukaryota; Metazoa; Chordata; Mammalia; Primates; Hominidae.